Humulus lupulus (European hop) is the source of this 263-nucleotide long non-coding RNA. RefSeq lists it as uncharacterized. Lineage: Eukaryota; Viridiplantae; Streptophyta; Magnoliopsida; Rosales; Cannabaceae. The record is from RefSeq and is a predicted model, not a curated record. The transcript is spliced from 3 exons.
GGAAUAUGCAACUCUUUUUAGUGGAACAACAGAGAAGUCAAGGUCUAGAAGCUCAUGCUGCUGCUUUUGCACAAUUUAAAGUUCCAGGGAAUGAGAAUCCUUCUACUCUCAUUUCCUUUGCAACAAAGACUUUUAAUGCUGGCCAAAUUACAUCAAAGUUGCAUGUUAUAGAGCUUGGUGCCCAACCAGGAAAACCUUCUUUUACAAAGAAACAAGCAGAUCUUUUCUUUCCUCCAGAUUUUGUAGAUGAUUUCCCCGUUGCA